ACACAAAAACCCUAUGUUAAGACAGUCAAUGAGGGAGUAAACGUUAAAUUGUAAAAAUAUAUUAUUAAUAUUUUUUGAGUUCCAUUAGAACGAGAAUUUACCCAACCCUUCGGGUAAGGAAUUACAGCAAUAAAAAAUGUCUAACUCAUUAAACAUAUAACAUUCAUAUUUUGAGUACAGAAUUAUUUUUUUAUCUAAACAUUGUAUACAUGUACAUGUAGAGAUGGGGACGCCACAGUGAUUCUCCUUGACUUUUGAAAGCCAGAGCUUCUGUCGCUCCUCUUCCUGAGUCCUCGUAGUCUCCACAGAGACAGUAAAGUAGUCUCCUGUCUCAUUCAGUCCUUGGUGCCACUCUAGCUGGAGGUGGAGCUUGACAGGCAGCACAUCAGAAACAAUCUGUUAACAACAGCUUUUAAACUCUUGAUUGUUGCUGCAUUACAACAUCUGCUUGUUUCAGUAUUAGCUAUGCAGCUCUUCAUGUUAGUGGUUUUAUUCACCGGGUUUAUUGGGUACAGUUAUCAGCAAACCAUCCACUCAAUCCAGGACAGUCCAGUCCAGGCUCUACAAGGAGACGGCGUGACUCUCUCCUGCAACUACUCUUCAGCAACAAACCUCUUCUGGUAUCGGCAGUACCCCAACUCACCUCCCCAGUUCCUUAUCAAAGAUUACAUGGAGCUAUCUGGAUUUACCUUGAAAAAGGAGAGUGAUAAACAAAUGUUCCAUCUGGAGAUCUCCUCUGCUGCAGUGACAGACUCUGCUCUGUACUACUGUGCUCAGCAGCCCACAGUGACAGGAAACACAGACUCCCUGUACAAAAACCUGCUGAGCACAAAACACACGUCCAUCUCCCCCUGUGACCCAAUCAAUGACAUUUCUGACUUUACACAUGAAUUCAUCGCAAUAUUUAUAGUCUGAUUAAUUAUACAUGUUUACCAUUUUUCAAUUUUAUUGAAAAAUGGUUCAAUAGUGUGUUAUAUUUCUAGCUUUUAUCCACAUGGCUCAUUCAAUUAAAAACCGUCUAUGUUUCAACAGUUACUCUUCUUAAAGUGAACAUGUAGGUGAGUUCUCUUAUCCACCCCUAGAGGUCAGU
This is a non-coding RNA of Gadus morhua (Atlantic cod), 1090 nucleotides long. Lineage: Eukaryota; Metazoa; Chordata; Actinopteri; Gadiformes; Gadidae. The record is from the annotation of a RefSeq genome assembly.